GGUGAACGCUGGCGGUAGGCCUAACACAUGCAAGUCGAACGGCAGCACAGUAAGAGCUUGCUCUUACGGGUGGCGAGUGGCGGACGGGUGAGGAAUACAUCGGAAUCUACUUUUUCGUGGGGGAUAACGUAGGGAAACUUACGCUAAUACCGCAUACGACCUACGGGUGAAAGCAGGGGAUCUUCGGACCUUGCGCGAUUGAAUGAGCCGAUGUCGGAUUAGCUAGUUGGCGGGGUAAAGGCCCACCAAGGCGACGAUCCGUAGCUGGUCUGAGAGGAUGAUCAGCCACACUGGAACUGAGACACGGUCCAGACUCCUACGGGAGGCAGCAGUGGGGAAUAUUGGACAAUGGGCGCAAGCCUGAUCCAGCCAUACCGCGUGUGUGAAGAAGGCCUUCGGGUUGUAAAGCCCUUUUGUUGGGAAAGAAAAGCAGCAGGUUAAUACCCCGCUGUUCUGACGGUACCCAAAGAAUAAGCACCGGCUAACUUCGUG
Molecule: ribosomal RNA, 492 nt
Filed under: uncultured bacterium
Lineage: Bacteria
Description: partial 16S ribosomal RNA
Rfam family: Bacterial small subunit ribosomal RNA
Source: RNAcentral